This 458-nucleotide ribosomal RNA is filed under the name uncultured bacterium. RNAcentral describes it as "bacterial SSU rRNA". It matches the Rfam family "Bacterial small subunit ribosomal RNA", at positions 338 to 795 of the family's 1533-position model. The record is from RNAcentral.
CCUACGGGUGGCAGCAGUAGGGAAUUUUGCGCAAUGGGGGAAACCCUGACGCAGCAACGCCAUGUGUGGGAUGAAGCAUUUCGGUGUGUAAACCACUGUCGGCAGGGAAUAAAGCCCGCGUUUACGCGGGGGUGAAUGUACCUGCAGAGGAAGCCCCGGCUAACUUCGUGCCAGCAGCCGCGGUAAUACGAGGGGGGCAAGUGUUGUUCGGAAUCACUGGGCGUAAAGGGAGCGUAGGCGGAAGUUUAAGUCGGGAGUUUAAAACCGGGGCCCAACCCCGGAGCGGCUCCCGAAACUGGAUUUCUUGAAUGGGACAGAGGCUAGUGGAAUUGGGGGUGUAGCGGUGGAAUGCGUAGAGAUCCCCAAGAACACCGAUUGCGAAGGCAGCUAGCUGGGUCCACAUUGACGCUGAGGCUCGAAAGCAUGGGGAGCAAACAGGAUUAGAUACCCCAGUAGUC